AUGGUACAAGAAAUGAUCAACAGCAGAGUGACUACAGAGGAUAAAGAUCAAUGGCUCUAUGCUUGGACUUCUCCACAUUACUCCUCCAGGAAAAUGUACAAGCUUCUCAUGGGUAAUAACUCAGCUCACAUUAUCUUCAAAAAUCUCUGGAGCACCGCAUGCAGAUUCAGACGUAAGAUUUUCUAUUGGCUGCUACUGCAAGACAGACUCAACACCAGGAAUCUUUUGCACAGGAAAAGCAUGUUCUUACAAGACUAUAACUGUGCUCUAUGCUCUGAGGAAACUCUUGUCCACCUCUUUUGGAACUGUCCUUUCUCUCUUCUAUGCUGGGAUCAUCUGACGUCCAAUAAACACAGAGGCAUUUCAGCUUGUGAUGAAACUUUGAUGACUGUCAGUCACCUUCCGGAAGAAAUUGCUUUGGACAUUGUUGGGAUGGGCUGUUGGGGUAUAUGGUCAGUUAGGAAUGACAAGAUUUUCAGAUCAGCUGCUCCACACCUGAACACUUGGAAACACUACCUUAGAGGACUCUGGACAGUUCAACUCAGGGCAAAACAGAGGGAAGCAAAGCAACUGAUUAGUUGGAUACAACAGCACCUAUAA
Molecule: ribosomal RNA, 600 nt
Filed under: Triticum aestivum (bread wheat)
Lineage: Eukaryota; Viridiplantae; Streptophyta; Magnoliopsida; Poales; Poaceae
Description: partial small subunit ribosomal RNA
Source: RNAcentral